This 477-nucleotide ribosomal RNA is filed under the name uncultured organism. Its description in RNAcentral is "partial 16S ribosomal RNA". It matches the Rfam family "Bacterial small subunit ribosomal RNA", at positions 331 to 799 of the family's 1533-position model. The record is from RNAcentral.
GUACACUCCUGCGGGAGGCAGCAGUGGGGAAUUUUGGACAAUGGGCGAAAGCCUGAUCCAGCAAUGCCGCGUGUGUGAAGAAGGCCUUCGGGUUGUAAAGCACUUUUGUCCGGAAAGAAAUCCUUGGCUCUAAUACAGUCGGGGGAUGACGGUACCGGAAGAAUAAGCACCGGCUAACUACGUGCCAGCAGCCGCGGUAAUACGUAGGGUGCGAGCGUUAAUCGGAAUUACUGGGCGUAAAGCGUGCGCAGGCGGUUUGCUAAGACCGAUGUGAAAUCCCCGGGCUCAACCUGGGAACUGCAUUGGUGACUGGCAGGCUAGAGUAUGGCAGAGGGGGGUAGAAUUCCACGUGUAGCAGUGAAAUGCGUAGAGAUGUGGAGGAAUACCGAUGGCGAAGGCAGCCCCCUGGGCCAAUACUGACGCUCAUGCACGAAAGCGUGGGGAGCAAACAGGAUUAGAUACCCGAGUAGUCCCAUG